UACGUAGGGUGCAAGCGUUAAUCGGAAUUGCUGGGCGUAAAGCGUGCGCAGGCGGUUUUGUAAGUCUGUCGUGAAAUCCCCGGGCUCAACCUGGGAAUGGCGAUGGAGACUGCAAGGCUAGAGUUUGGCAGAGGGGGGUAGAAUUCCACGUGUAGCAGUGAAAUGCGUAGAUAUGUGGAGGAACACCGAUGGCGAAGGCAGCCCCCUGGGUCAAGACUGACGCUCAUGCACGAAAGCGUGGGGAGCAAACAG
RNAcentral lists this ribosomal RNA (252 nucleotides) under uncultured bacterium. Its description in RNAcentral is "partial 16S ribosomal RNA". It matches the Rfam family "Bacterial small subunit ribosomal RNA", at positions 524 to 775 of the family's 1533-position model. The record is from RNAcentral.